UACGUAGGGGGCAAGCGUUGUCCGGAAUCAUUGGGCGUAAAGCGCGUGUAGGCGGCCAGAAAAGUCCGCUGUGAAAACUCGAGGCUCAACUUCGAGCUGUCGGUGGAAACUUUCUGGCUAGAGUCCGGAAGAGGAGAAUGGAAUUCCUGGUGUAGCGGUGAAAUGCGCAGAUAUCAGGAAGAACACCCGUGGCGAAGGCGGUUCUCUGGGGCGGUACUGACGCUGAGACGCGAAAGCGUGGGGAGCGAACAGG
Molecule: ribosomal RNA, 253 nt
Filed under: uncultured bacterium
Lineage: Bacteria
Description: partial 16S ribosomal RNA
Rfam family: Bacterial small subunit ribosomal RNA
Source: RNAcentral